RNAcentral lists this ribosomal RNA (1726 nucleotides) under Hemicriconemoides chitwoodi. Its description in RNAcentral is "SSU rRNA". It matches the Rfam family "Eukaryotic small subunit ribosomal RNA". Lineage: Eukaryota; Metazoa; Nematoda; Chromadorea; Rhabditida; Criconematidae. The record is from RNAcentral.
AAAAGAUUAAAGCCAUGCAUGUAUAAGUACACGCCUUUACCAGGUGAAACCGCGAACGGCUCAUUACAACAGCUAUAAUCUACUCGGUCUUGAACAGUUACUCGGAUAACUGUGGUAAUUCUAGAGCUAAUACGUGCACCGAGGCUGCUCCUCGCGGGGCAGUGCAUUUGUUGGAGCAAAACCAGGCGGCUUCGGCCGUUUUUGCUGACUCAGAACAACUCAGCUGAUCGCAUGGGCUUGUCCCGGCGACGUACCGUCCGAGUGUCUGCCUUAUCAACUUUCGAUGGUAGUGUACGUGACUACCAUGGUUGUGACGGGUAACGGAGGAUAAGGGUUCGACUCCGGAGAAGGGGCCUGAGAAAUGGCCACUACGUCUAAGGAUGGCAGCAGGCGCGCAAAUUACCCACUCUCGGUUCGAGGAGGUAGUGACGAAAAAUAACAAGGCUGUUCUCUACGAGGCCAGCCAUUGGAAUGGGUACAACACAAACCCUUUAACGAGUAUCAAUGAGAGGGCAAGUCUGGUGCCAGCAGCCGCGGUAAUUCCAGCUCUCAAAAUGCAUAGAACCAUUGCUGCGGUUAAAAAGCUCGUAGUUGGAUCUGUGCCGGCGACGUGGUCCACCCUAACGGGCGGUACUGCGCUCGUCGGCUUUGGGCCGGUCUUCGUGCGGUGGCCUUCACUGGUCGCCGUCCGUGGCUGGCUGGUUUACUUUGAGCAAAUCAGAGUGCUCAGCACAGGCGUUUCGCCGGAAUGUUCGUGCAUGGAAUAAUAGAAAAGGAUUUCGGUCCUCUUUUAUUGGUUUUGUGGACUGAGAUAAUGGUUAACAGAGACGAACGGGGGCAUUCGUAUUGCUGCGUGAGAGGUGAAAUUCUUGGACCGCAGCAGGACGGACUACAGCGAAAGCAUUUGCCAAGCGCGUCUUCAUUAAUCAAGAACGAAAGUCAGAGGUUCGAAAGGCGAUCAUGUUCCCGCCCUAGUUCUACCGGUAAAGAUGCCAACUAGCGAUCCGACGGCGGCUUUCAGGCCCUGUUGGGGAGCUUCCCGGAAACGAAAGUCUUCCGGUUCCGGGGGAAGUAUGGUUGCAAAGCUGAAACUUAAAGGAAUUGACGGAAGGGCACCACCAGGAGUGGAGCCUGCGGCUUAAUUUGACUCAACACGGGAAAACUCACCCGGCCCGGACACCGUGAGGAUUGACAGAUUGAUAGCUUUUUCAUGAUUCGGUGGUUGGUGGUGCAUGGCCGUUCUUAGUUCGUGGAUCGAUUUGUCUGGUUUAUUCCGAUAACGAGCGAGACUCCAGCCUACUAACUAGUGCGGGCGUUGUCUCUGCGCUUGUCACUUCUUAGAGGGAUUGGCUGCGCCUAGCGGCACGAAACGGAGCAAUAACAGGUCUGUGAUGCCCUUAGAUGUCCGGGGCUGCACGCGCGCUACACUGGCAAAGGCAGCGUGCUUGUCCGCCUCCGAAAGGAGCCGGUAAACCCUUGAAAAUUUGCCGUGAUUGGGAUCGGAAAUUGCAAUUAUUUUCCGUGAACGAGGAAUUCCUAGUAAGUGCGAGUCAUCAGCUCGCGUUGAUUACGUCCCUGCCCUUUGUACACACCGCCCGUCGCUGCCUAGAACUGAGCCAUUUCGAGAAUAUUCGGGAUCGCUGGUUGCGGGCCUUUCGGGGCACGCCUCUGGCAAGAGAACGAACGUAAUCGCAGUGGCUUGAACCGGGCAAGUCGUAACAAGAUC